RNAcentral lists this ribosomal RNA (381 nucleotides) under Streptomyces matensis. RNAcentral describes it as "bacterial SSU rRNA". It matches the Rfam family "Bacterial small subunit ribosomal RNA", at positions 1016 to 1393 of the family's 1533-position model. Lineage: Bacteria; Bacillati; Actinomycetota; Actinomycetes; Kitasatosporales; Streptomycetaceae. The record is from RNAcentral.
CCCCCUUGUGGUCGGUGUACAGGUGGUGCAUGGCUGUCGUCAGCUGGGGGGAGUGUUGGGUUAAGUCCCGCAACGAGCGCAACCCUUGACCCGUGUUGCCAGCAGGCCCUUGUGGUGCUGGGGACUCACGGGAGACCGCCGGGGUCAACUCGGAGGAAGGUGGGGACGACGUCAAGUCAUCAUGCCCCUUAUGUCUUGGGCUGCACACGUGCUACAAUGGCCGGUACAAUGAGCUGCGAUACCGCGAGGUGGAGCGAAUCUCAAAAAGCCGGUCUCAGUUCGGAUUGGGGUCUGCAACUCGACCCCAUGAAGUCGGAGUCGCUAGUAAUCGCAGAUCAGCAUUGCUGCGGUGAAUACGUUCCCGGGUCUUGUACACACCGA